This is a long non-coding RNA of Magallana angulata, 1753 nucleotides long. RefSeq lists it as uncharacterized. Lineage: Eukaryota; Metazoa; Mollusca; Bivalvia; Ostreida; Ostreidae. The transcript has 2 exons. The record is from RefSeq and is a predicted model, not a curated record.
AGAUAGCAUGACUACGUUGGGCCAACGUUGGUAAUUGGUUGUACCGUUGGUCGAUGGUUGGCGUUGGGCACACAUUGUUGGCCCAACGUUGGGCCAACAUUAUUACACAUCUUUCAUAGCACAUUGAUUGCUUUGUUGGCAUGACAACGUCGGGCCAACGUUGGGCCAACAUAAGUAAAACAUGUGAUCUCUAUUUGUUGGUAAUGCACAGUUGGCCCAACGUUGGGCCAACAUCUUACAAUGCCAUGAAUUUCGACUAAGUGUUUGUUGGUGUAACAAUGUUGAGCCAACGUUGGGCCAACAUAAAUAAAACAUAUGAUCUAUAUUUGUUGGUAAUGCGCAGUUGGCCCAACGUUGGGCCAACAUAAUAACAUGCCAUGAAUUUCGACUUAGUGUUUGUUGGUGUAACAAUGUUGAACCAACGUUGGGCCAACAAAAGUAAAACAUAUGAUCUAUAUUUGUUGGUGAUGCGCAGUUGGCCGAACGUUGGGCCAACAUCUUAACAUGCCAUGAAUUCUAACUAAGUGUUUGUUGGCGUAACAUUGUUGGGCCAUGGGUGGGCCAACGUAGGUAAAACAUGUAAUCUCAUUUAAUUGUUGGAAAUGGGCAGUUGGGCCAACUUUGGGUCAUUAUUUUUACAUGCUACGAAUUAUGACAGAGUUAAAAGAAACAAACAGAUAACAUAAAUACAACCACAAAAAUUUAAGGUAUAGGUGAGUAAAUAAUGUGAUUUGCUCUGUUAAUUUUGAUUGCAAUUAUAAGGAAUUUAUAGUGUCUUAAUUAUGUUUUAACACAUGAACAUGUUAAUUAAAAAGUUUGUAUGUAUAACUAGUUGAGUUUAAUCUAUUUUUCUUACUUUGGAAUACAUAACAUCAUCAUGAUAAAUUGUAUGCAUAUCGAUCUCAGUAAUUUGGGUUGAAAAAUAGUUAAUAUAUGUUAUUAAUAUAAAAAGUUUUAAACUGUCAAACGUUGGCCCAACGUUGGUUCGUUGUUAGAUUUUAAACCCGACAAUGAAUUUUUUAUUUUUUGAGAAAUUUAGUGGAGCAUUGUAAAUUGUAUUGGGCUUAAUUAUUUAAAACUGUUGAGUCAUAGAUGUUGGCCAUUGUUGCUCUGUUGAGGGAUGUUUAUUGUUUAUAUAAAUCUGAUGAGCUGUAUGUACACGUGUAGCUGGAGCGCCUAUUGCAUAACGAAUCUUAAAGUGUCGAAAUUAAGAGGCAGACGGAGCUCCUUUACUGCCCAAGUAUCUAGGUCAGUGCUACUCACAGCAUGGGACUGGCCAGUUUCCUUGGAGAUCGGUCAUCUGAUAUAACCAGGAUGGUCAAAACUGCCACGUUUUAUUUUGAAUAUAUUGCAACCGUUGUGCGUGUACACCUAUAGUAAAUAGUGUUUUUUCUACUCUACGAAUUAUACAUAAGAAGAUUGGGGAUAUAUAUGCUACAAAAACCGCAGUAAGAAAAAAACCAGACUGUGUGCCUCUGCAACAGAUGUAGAGAUAGGGAAGGACGGGUUCCGUUUUUCAAAGACCGUGAAGGUGAAGGGAAAAAAGGGAAGAAAGAAAAAAAAGCAAGGAGGUAACCCAAGCCACUGAACAUGCUGAAGCCAGUGACCCGGACAGUGAUCAGACCCUACAGUUCGAUUGUUACUAAGGAAUUUACAUAGACAAAGAAAUAUGCUAGCGAUUCUUUUUAAUUCUAAAAAGUGUUUAAAUGUAUUGUAAAUUUUUACUAAGAAAAAAUAAAAUCUGUAUACUAUG